RNAcentral lists this ribosomal RNA (277 nucleotides) under uncultured prokaryote. Its description in RNAcentral is "partial 16S ribosomal RNA". It matches the Rfam family "Bacterial small subunit ribosomal RNA", at positions 524 to 801 of the family's 1533-position model. The record is from RNAcentral.
UACGUAGGGGGCUAGCGUUAUCCGGAAUUACUGGGCGUAAAGGGUGCGUAGGCGGUCUUUCAAGCCAGAAGUGAAAGGCUACGGCUCAACCGUAGUAAGCUUUUGGAACUGUAAGACUUGAGUGCAGGAGAGGAGAGUGGAAUUCCUAGUGUAGCGGUGAAAUGCGUAGAUAUUAGGAGGAACACCAGUAGCGAAGGCGGCUCUCUGGACCGUAACUGACGCUGAGGCACGAAAGCGUGGGGAGCAAACAGGAUUAGAUACCCCGGUAGUCCCUGAG